Molecule: non-coding RNA, 294 nt
Organism: Maylandia zebra (zebra mbuna)
Lineage: Eukaryota; Metazoa; Chordata; Actinopteri; Cichliformes; Cichlidae
Source: RefSeq, a predicted model, not a curated record
GGAAAAAUUUUGGAUGGGUCCACAAGAGCACAAAGUGCAUACUUUUUGAAGAAAAACAUCUUUCAGAUGUAUGAGAAAUUGAUUGGAGCCUGUCUGGAAAACGGCAGCCACUGGACCUUGUUUUUUUGUGACAUACCCAAGAGGACCAUAGUCUAUAUGAAUUCAUUUGGAGAGUCGGAGGUCAGAAAAAGUGCGGUGUUGAAAAACUGGAGCUCAUUUGCUUCAGCAAGAGGCUGCACUGGAGAGUGGACCUUGUCACAUGUGAGCCACCCACAUCAAGAGGAUGGGAACUCA